Molecule: small nuclear RNA, 190 nt
Filed under: Oncorhynchus mykiss (rainbow trout)
Lineage: Eukaryota; Metazoa; Chordata; Actinopteri; Salmoniformes; Salmonidae
Description: U2 spliceosomal RNA (ENSOMYG00000021778.2)
Rfam family: U2 spliceosomal RNA
About the family: U2 is a small nuclear RNA (snRNA) component of the spliceosome (involved in pre-mRNA splicing). Complementary binding between U2 snRNA (in an area lying towards the 5' end but 3' to hairpin I) and the branchpoint sequence (BPS) of the intron results the bulging out of an unpaired adenosine, on the BPS, which initiates a nucleophilic attack at the intronic 5' splice site, thus starting the first of two transesterification reactions that mediate splicing.
Source: RNAcentral
AAAACUUCUUUUUUUUUUAACAAACGGAGAAAAAAAAUCUGUUCUUAUCAGUUUAAUAUCUGAUACGUCACCUAUCUGGGGACCAUAUAUUAAAUUCAUUUUUGGAAUAGGGAGAUGGAAUAGGGGCUUGCUCCGUCCACUCCACGCAUCGACCUGGUAUUGCAGUACCUCCAGGAACGGUGCACCCCCU